GACGAACGCUGGCGGCGUGCUUAACACAUGCAAGUCGAACGGAAAGGCUCCAGCUUGCUGGAGUGCUCGAGUGGCGAACGGGUGAGUAACACGUGGGCAAUCUGCCCUGCACUCUGGGAUAAGCCUGGGAAACUGGGUCUAAUACCGGAUAGGACCUUUCUCCUCAUGGGGUUUGGUGGAAAGUUUUUCGGUGCAGGAUGAGCCCGCGGCCUAUCAGCUUGUUGGUGGGGUAAUGGCCUACCAAGGCGACGACGGGUAGCCGGCCUGAGAGGGUGAUCGGCCACAUUGGGACUGAGAUACGGCCCAGGCUCCUACGGGAGGCAGCAGUGGGGAAUAUUGCACAAUGGGCGAAAGCCUGAUGCAGCGACGCCGCGUGAGGGAUGACGGCCUUCGGGUUGUAAACCUCUUUCAGUAGGGACGAAGCGCAAGUGACGGUACCUGCAGAAGAAGCACCGGCUAACUACGUG
RNAcentral lists this ribosomal RNA (467 nucleotides) under uncultured bacterium. Its description in RNAcentral is "partial 16S ribosomal RNA". It matches the Rfam family "Bacterial small subunit ribosomal RNA", at positions 28 to 507 of the family's 1533-position model. The record is from RNAcentral.